AGGCGGUGUAAGGGGAGUUGCAAAGAAAAAUCGAUUUUUUGACAUGUGGAUGCCACGGAGAAGACGUGCUAAUAUUGAACCUGGAGUUGGAAAAAUGGUUUCAUAUAUUAAUCGAGAGAAAAAAUUAGACUCAAUAAUUGGUCAACGCCCAGUUGAACCUGCUGCCCCGAAAGGGUUAUAUUUAUAUGGAAAUGUUGGAAGUGGAAAGACGAUGCUGAUGGACAUGUUUUAUGGUGCCACCGAAGGGAUUGUUAAACACAGGCGAAGGUUUCACUUUCACGAGGCGAUGCUUGAAAUUCACGAACAUAUGCAUGCUAUAUGGAAGAACCAGGUUGAGGACCAAUCCCGUCAAUCAAAUAUUUCCAGUUGGAUAACUAAUCUACCUUUUGAUUCAAAAGUGAAAGAGUGGUUGAUUGGAGAAGAGAAAUACAAGCAA
RNAcentral lists this unclassified non-coding RNA (436 nucleotides) under Hevea brasiliensis (rubber tree). The record is from RNAcentral. Lineage: Eukaryota; Viridiplantae; Streptophyta; Magnoliopsida; Malpighiales; Euphorbiaceae.